CCGCGGCCGCGAUUGUACUGUAAAUCCUUUUUUGAGCAGCGCCAGCGGAGCAAACAAGAUUGAAAGGGAAAGCGCGAAAUGUC
Molecule: small RNA, 83 nt
Filed under: Flavobacteriaceae bacterium 3519-10
Lineage: Bacteria; Pseudomonadati; Bacteroidota; Flavobacteriia; Flavobacteriales; Flavobacteriaceae
Description: Flavo-1 RNA
Rfam family: Flavo-1 RNA
Source: Rfam by way of RNAcentral